This 149-nucleotide ribosomal RNA is filed under the name ascomycete sp. Zmo22. RNAcentral's name for it is "5.8S ribosomal RNA". It matches the Rfam family "5.8S ribosomal RNA". Rfam says of the family: 5.8S ribosomal RNA (5.8S rRNA) is a component of the large subunit of the eukaryotic ribosome. It is transcribed by RNA polymerase I as part of the 45S precursor that also contains 18S and 28S rRNA. Functionally, it is thought that 5.8S rRNA may be involved in ribosome translocation. Lineage: Eukaryota; Fungi; Ascomycota. The record is from RNAcentral.
CAACUUUCAACAACGGAUCUCUUGGUUCUGGCAUCGAUGAAGAACGCAGCGAAAUGCGAUACGUAGUGUGAAUUGCAGAAUUCAGUGAAUCAUCGAAUCUUUGAACGCACAUUGCGCCCUUUGGUAUUCCAAAGGGCAUGCCUGUUCGA